This 348-nucleotide unclassified non-coding RNA is filed under the name soil metagenome. RNAcentral describes it as "partial contains 5.8S ribosomal RNA, internal transcribed spacer 2, and large subunit ribosomal RNA". The stretch from base 1 to 120 matches the Rfam family "5.8S ribosomal RNA", at positions 35 to 154 of the family's 154-position model. The record is from RNAcentral.
GAUGAAGAACGUAGCGAAAUGCGAUAAGUAAUGUGAAUUGCAGAAUUCAGUGAAUCAUCGAAUCUUUGAACGCACAUUGCGCCCAUCAGUAUUCUGUUGGGCAUGUCUGUCCGAGCGUCAUUUCAACCCUCAGGGCCCGUUCGCGGGAACUGGUGUUGGGGAUCGGCCUCCCCCCGGAGGCCGGCCCCGAAAUGCAGUGGCGGCUCUACCGCGAUCUCCUCUGUGUAGUAGCGAUACCUCGCAGCUGGAUAGUGGUGGUGCCACGCCGUAAAAUCCCAACUUUACCAAGGUUGACCUCGGAUCAGGUAGGAAUACCCGCUGAACUUAAGCAUAUCAAUAAGCGGAGGA